This 89-nucleotide transfer RNA is filed under the name Daphnia pulex (common water flea). It matches the Rfam family "tRNA". Rfam says of the family: Transfer RNA (tRNA) molecules are approximately 80 nucleotides in length. The record is from Rfam by way of RNAcentral. Lineage: Eukaryota; Metazoa; Arthropoda; Branchiopoda; Diplostraca; Daphniidae.
GGCUCAUUGGUCUAGUGGUAUGAUUCUUGCUUUGGGUGUAAGGGGCGGGGUUCAAAUCAAAAUCAAGGGUUCAAAUCCCGGAUGAGCUC